CGGCGGACGGGUGAGUAACGCGUGGGUAACCUACCCUGUACACACGGAUAACAUACCGAAAGGUAUGCUAAUACGGGAUAAUAUAUUUGAGAGGCAUCUCUUGAAUAUCAAAGGUGAGCCAGUACAGGAUGGACCCGCGUCUGAUUAGCUAGUUGGUAAGGUAACGGCUUACCAAGGCGACGAUCAGUAGCCGACCUGAGAGGGUGAUCGGCACAUUGGAACUGAGACACGGUCCAA
This 237-nucleotide ribosomal RNA is filed under the name uncultured bacterium. RNAcentral's name for it is "partial 16S ribosomal RNA". It matches the Rfam family "Bacterial small subunit ribosomal RNA", at positions 96 to 334 of the family's 1533-position model. The record is from RNAcentral.